RNAcentral lists this ribosomal RNA (510 nucleotides) under Lactobacillus crispatus. Its description in RNAcentral is "bacterial SSU rRNA". It matches the Rfam family "Bacterial small subunit ribosomal RNA", at positions 49 to 526 of the family's 1533-position model. Lineage: Bacteria; Bacillati; Bacillota; Bacilli; Lactobacillales; Lactobacillaceae. The record is from RNAcentral.
UAAUACAUGCAAGUAGAGCGAGCGGAACUAACAGAUUUACUUCGGUAAUGACGUUAGGAAAGCGAGCGGCGGAUGGGUGAGUAACACGUGGGGAACCUGCCCCAUAGUCUGGGAUACCACUUGGAAACAGGUGCUAAUACCGGAUAAGAAAGCAGAUCGCAUGAUCAGCUUUUAAAAGGCGGCGUAAGCUGUCGCUAUGGGAUGGCCCCGCGGUGCAUUAGCUAGUUGGUAAGGUAAAGGCUUACCAAGGCGAUGAUGCAUAGCCGAGUUGAGAGACUGAUCGGCCACAUUGGGACUGAGACACGGCCCAAACUCCUACGGGAGGCAGCAGUAGGGAAUCUUCCACAAUGGACGCAAGUCUGAUGGAGCAACGCCGCGUGAGUGAAGAAGGUUUUCGGAUCGUAAAGCUCUGUUGUUGGUGAAGAAGGAUAGAGGUAGUAACUGGCCUUUAUUUGACGGUAAUCAACCAGAAAGUCACGGCUAACUACGUGCCAGCAGCCGCGGUAAUAC